This 1786-nucleotide long non-coding RNA is filed under the name Marmota monax (woodchuck). Lineage: Eukaryota; Metazoa; Chordata; Mammalia; Rodentia; Sciuridae. The record is from RNAcentral.
GCCCAGGGCAGUGUCGGGAUGUGAGGUUGGGGACAGGGCAGGUGUGGCUGACGGGGCGUGGUGCGCAGUGGGGCUCAGUGUGAUGGGGAGAGUGCGAGGUGAAGCCCCAAACUCGCUGCCCAGGUCUCUCUCCGUUUCCACUCCACCCCAGCCUCCUCCUCCCGCCACGGUGUUUUGAAGUAAAUCACAGGGUGGCACCAUCCAGAAGUUUAAAGGUGUCCGGGCGAGUCUCUAAAGGUUUAGGAAAUUCAGAACGGCCAUACGUGACCACAGGAAGAAAUGGGUGACUCUUGAGCAUCACCCAACACCCUGCCUGGGCUGGGAACUAGAAUCGCCUCCUCUUCCCUCCCGUCCUCUCACAUCCCAUCCGUCGGGGUCCUGCCCGACUCCAUCCCCUCUUCAGCCCACGCUGGCCACAGGGCAGUCCUGGGCACCCUCUGCCUCGGCUGGCUGCUUCAGGGUCCAUCCAGGCACAUGGUGGGCCCAUCUCCCACGACACGGGGCCUCCUCUCACUGCAGAUGGCCGAUCCCGACGGCACCCUCUGCUCUGGGACCCUCCCCUUGGCUGUUCUCCAGAGCCACAGUCUCUUCUAUCAGGGAGCCACAUGCUCCUGUCCCUCAGCCAUCCGGGUCUCUGGUGUCCGUCACCUUCUUGGAGAGGGCCUCCUGACCAGCUCAUCUCAGCCCUCCUUUCAUGACUCUCCAUCCCUGACCUCCAGCCCCCUUCCCCUCGGAGACCAGCCGUGUGCUAAGUGUGGGUAUGGCCGGGGGUCCCCCUAGGGUCCACUAUGAUGGGGGGCUGUUGGGAGUUGGUGGAACGUUUAAGGAGCAGGACCUCGUGGAAGUCCCUAAGGCCAUCACCGUGUAGAUGAUCAGGAGGAAGCCAGCUAGGGGUGUGCCCUCAGAGUGUGGUUCUUGUGUGGUUCCUUGAGUUCUCCCGAGGGGAUGGUUGUAGAAGGACAAGCCUGGACCCUCCCACUGCGUCUGCACCGUGGCUGUGAAGUGACAGCAUCUCGACACGUUCCCAUCAGUGCUGUCCCUCAUCAGAUGCAGGCACCAGGCACUUGAAUUUCCAAAACUGUGAGCUAAGUGAACCCCUCUCUCUCUAUUUUUUUAUUUAAAGUAGGUGGUGUCAGGAAUCUCGUUAUAGCCAUGAAAGGCUGGCUAGUGUGCCAUGUUGGACCACACCUUUGACUUGUGUGUUUUCUACCAAAGCAAAGGUACCUAAUCCCGGGCUUGGCUGCUCAUUCACUCCUAGAUCUACAGCACCCCUGCCCAUAUCCCACCCUCACUGAACAUUUGCCGGGUGGAUGAAUUAUUGUCCGAGUUCUGCAGCCCCAGAGAGACACUGGGUGACUUGAGAGCCAAGACAGAACCAGAAGCUGCAAAAGCUGAUCCACAAUUCUCCAGGUCGGGGACGCAGUCUAGUUAGGGGGCUGUGAGGACAGGGAAAGGUGGUCUUGUGGGGUCAGAGGCCUCUCAGAGGCUGGGAAGAAGCGAGCGGCCCACUGCCCUCUGGCUGCCGUGCCCUGCCCCGUCUCAUCCUGAACACAUCCCUGUGCUCCAGUGGACACGGGCUGGUAACCCAGAGGCACCUCAGAGCCAGCCCAGCCCAUGGUCCACCUCAGGACCCUUGUGGGGUGGAAUUCUCUUUUCUGCAGGGCGUUAGCGGGGAUGGAGCCCAGCCUCAGACCUGAGAAGCCUGUGGGUUUGGAGCUUUCUCAGGUAGCAGCGCCUGGGAGGCCUGUGGGCAGUGAGUUAUGCCAACCCCCUCGACCACGCUUCG